UUGAAUAUACACACACACAAAAAAAAGAAUAUAUCUGUAACAUGUUACAUCUUUAAAGGAGUUCUCAGAGCUGCCAGUCUUACACUAGAAGUUUAAUAGUAGUAUAUUUCUCUUACAGAA
This is a small nucleolar RNA of Manis javanica (Malayan pangolin), 120 nucleotides long. RefSeq annotates it as small nucleolar RNA U109. The record is from RefSeq and is a predicted model, not a curated record. NCBI's taxonomy places the organism in Eukaryota, Metazoa, Chordata, Mammalia, Pholidota, Manidae.